GCAAAAAAAUUAAUUUCUUCAUUAAUUUUUAAGAUCCACUUUGUACAACAAAUAAUUGGGAUUUUAAUUUUGUGCAAUCAAUUGAUAUUGAAGAAGCUCUAUAAGUAUUUAAGUACAUACGAUGACUCUUAAAUGUAGCAAAUUAUCAGUCAACAUUCUUAAGAAAGCCUUCAAGACUUAAGAAUUUAAAUUGGACACUAACUCAGAAUACACAUUUGCACUUUAGAAAAUUAAACUUUAAAUCUUCAAAUAUGCCUAAUCUUCAAACUUCAAAAUUACUUUAAAAUACAAAUUAAAUAAAAUUUGUAAGGCUCAGAUAGAAUUUUUAAAAUCUACAAAUAUCUAGCUGUGAUAAUCAAUAUCCAUAUAAUUUAUUAUUUAUUAAUUUUGUAUCAAUGUAAAAAGAAAAG
Molecule: long non-coding RNA, 410 nt
Organism: Apis dorsata (giant honeybee)
Lineage: Eukaryota; Metazoa; Arthropoda; Insecta; Hymenoptera; Apidae
Exons: 2
Source: RefSeq, a predicted model, not a curated record